Molecule: ribosomal RNA, 2932 nt
Filed under: Escherichia coli
Lineage: Bacteria; Pseudomonadati; Pseudomonadota; Gammaproteobacteria; Enterobacterales; Enterobacteriaceae
Also listed under: 2 other names
Description: bacterial LSU rRNA
Rfam family: Bacterial large subunit ribosomal RNA
Source: RNAcentral
GGGUUGUGAGGUUAAGCGACUAAGCGUACACGGUGGAUGCCCUGGCAGUCAGAGGCGAUGAAGGACGUGCUAAUCUGCGAUAAGCGUCGGUAAGGUGAUAUGAACCGUUAUAACCGGCGAUUUCCGAAUGGGGAAACCCAGUGUGAUUCGUCACACUAUCAUUAACUGAAUCCAUAGGUUAAUGAGGCGAACCGGGGGAACUGAAACAUCUAAGUACCCCGAGGAAAAGAAAUCAACCGAGAUUCCCCCAGUAGCGGCGAGCGAACGGGGAGGAGCCCAGAGCCUGAAUCAGUGUGUGUGUUAGUGGAAGCGUCUGGAAAGGCGCGCGAUACAGGGUGACAGCCCCGUACACAAAAAUGCACAUACUGUGAGCUCGAUGAGUAGGGCGGGACACGUGGUAUCCUGUCUGAAUAUGGGGGGACCAUCCUCCAAGGCUAAAUACUCCUGACUGACCGAUAGUGAACCAGUACCGUGAGGGAAAGGCGAAAAGAACCCCGGCGAGGGGAGUGAAAAAGAACCUGAAACCGUGUACGUACAAGCAGUGGGAGCACAGAGCAAUCUGUGUGACUGCGUACCUUUUGUAUAAUGGGUCAGCGACUUAUAUUCUGUAGCAAGGUUAACCGAAUAGGGGAGCCGAAGGGAAACCGAGUCUUAACCGGGCGUUAAGUUGCAGGGUAUAGACCCGAAACCCGGUGAUCUAGCCAUGGGCAGGUUGAAGGUUGGGUAACACUAACUGGAGGACCGAACCGACUAAUGUUGAAAAAUUAGCGGAUGACUUGUGGCUGGGGGUGAAAGGCCAAUCAAACCGGGAGAUAGCUGGUUCUCCCCGAAAGCUAUUUAGGUAGCGCCUCGUGAAUUCAUCUCCGGGGGUAGAGCACUGUUUCGGCAAGGGGGUCAUCCCGACUUACCAACCCGAUGCAAACUGCGAAUACCGGAGAAUGUUAUCACGGGAGACACACGGCGGGUGCUAACGUCCGUCGUGAAGAGGGAAACAACCCAGACCGCCAGCUAAGGUCCCAAAGUCAUGGUUAAGUGGGAAACGAUGUGGGAAGGCCCAGACAGCCAGGAUGUUGGCUUAGAAGCAGCCAUCAUUUAAAGAAAGCGUAAUAGCUCACUGGUCGAGUCGGCCUGCGCGGAAGAUGUAACGGGGCUAAACCAUGCACCGAAGCUGCGGCAGCGACACUGUGUGUUGUUGGGUAGGGGAGCGUUCUGUAAGCCUGUGAAGGUGUGCUGUGAGGCAUGCUGGAGGUAUCAGAAGUGCGAAUGCUGACAUAAGUAACGAUAAAGCGGGUGAAAAGCCCGCUCGCCGGAAGACCAAGGGUUCCUGUCCAACGUUAAUCGGGGCAGGGUGAGUCGACCCCUAAGGCGAGGCCGAAAGGCGUAGUCGAUGGGAAACAGGUUAAUAUUCCUGUACUUGGUGUUACUGCGAAGGGGGGACGGAGAAGGCUAUGUUGGCCGGGCGACGGUUGUCCCGGUUUAAGCGUGUAGGCUGGUUUUCCAGGCAAAUCCGGAAAAUCAAGGCUGAGGCGUGAUGACGAGGCACUACGGUGCUGAAGCAACAAAUGCCCUGCUUCCAGGAAAAGCCUCUAAGCAUCAGGUAACAUCAAAUCGUACCCCAAACCGACACAGGUGGUCAGGUAGAGAAUACCAAGGCGCUUGAGAGAACUCGGGUGAAGGAACUAGGCAAAAUGGUGCCGUAACUUCGGGAGAAGGCACGCUGAUAUGUAGGUGAAGUCCCUCGCGGAUGGAGCUGAAAUCAGUCGAAGAUACCAGCUGGCUGCAACUGUUUAUUAAAAACACAGCACUGUGCAAACACGAAAGUGGACGUAUACGGUGUGACGCCUGCCCGGUGCCGGAAGGUUAAUUGAUGGGGUCAGCGCAAGCGAAGCUCUUGAUCGAAGCCCCGGUAAACGGCGGCCGUAACUAUAACGGUCCUAAGGUAGCGAAAUUCCUUGUCGGGUAAGUUCCGACCUGCACGAAUGGCGUAAUGAUGGCCAGGCUGUCUCCACCCGAGACUCAGUGAAAUUGAACUCGCUGUGAAGAUGCAGUGUACCCGCGGCAAGACGGAAAGACCCCGUGAACCUUUACUAUAGCUUGACACUGAACAUUGAGCCUUGAUGUGUAGGAUAGGUGGGAGGCUUUGAAGUGUGGACGCCAGUCUGCAUGGAGCCGACCUUGAAAUACCACCCUUUAAUGUUUGAUGUUCUAACGUGGACCCGUGAUCCGGGUUGCGGACAGUGUCUGGUGGGUAGUUUGACUGGGGCGGUCUCCUCCUAAAGAGUAACGGAGGAGCACGAAGGUUGGCUAAUCCUGGUCGGACAUCAGGAGGUUAGUGCAAUGGCAUAAGCCAGCUUGACUGCGAGCGUGACGGCGCGAGCAGGUGCGAAAGCAGGUCAUAGUGAUCCGGUGGUUCUGAAUGGAAGGGCCAUCGCUCAACGGAUAAAAGGUACUCCGGGGAUAACAGGCUGAUACCGCCCAAGAGUUCAUAUCGACGGCGGUGUUUGGCACCUCGAUGUCGGCUCAUCACAUCCUGGGGCUGAAGUAGGUCCCAAGGGUAUGGCUGUUCGCCAUUUAAAGUGGUACGCGAGCUGGGUUUAGAACGUCGUGAGACAGUUCGGUCCCUAUCUGCCGUGGGCGCUGGAGAACUGAGGGGGGCUGCUCCUAGUACGAGAGGACCGGAGUGGACGCAUCACUGGUGUUCGGGUUGUCAUGCCAAUGGCACUGCCCGGUAGCUAAAUGCGGAAGAGAUAAGUGCUGAAAGCAUCUAAGCACGAAACUUGCCCCGAGAUGAGUUCUCCCUGACCCUUUAAGGGUCCUGAAGGAACGUUGAAGACGACGACGUUGAUAGGCCGGGUGUGUAAGCGCAGCGAUGCGUUGAGCUAACCGGUACUAAUGAACCGUGAGGCUUAACCUUACAACGCCGAAGGUGUUU